Molecule: ribosomal RNA, 225 nt
Filed under: uncultured bacterium
Lineage: Bacteria
Description: partial 16S ribosomal RNA
Rfam family: Bacterial small subunit ribosomal RNA
Source: RNAcentral
CGUAACGCGUAUGCAAUCUACCUUUUACAGAGGGAUAGCCCAGAGAAAUUUGGAUUAAUACCUCAUAGUAUAGCUGAAUCGCAUGAUUCUACUAUUAAAGUCACAACGGUAAAAGAUGAGCAUGCGUCCCAUUAGCUUGUUGGUAAGGUAACGGCUUACCAAGGCUACGAUGGGUAGGGGUCCUGAGAGGGAGAUCCCCCACACUGGUACUGAGACACGGACCAG